Xyrichtys novacula (pearly razorfish) is the source of this 124-nucleotide non-coding RNA. Lineage: Eukaryota; Metazoa; Chordata; Actinopteri; Labriformes; Labridae. The record is from the annotation of a GenBank genome assembly.
AAUAGGGCUCUACGCCCGGCUGCUCUGCAGCUGGCUCGGGCCCUAAUAAAAAUAAUUAGUAUUAUGAUCAUCAUUAUUAUUAGGGCCCUAGCCAGCUGCAGAGCAGCCGGCAUAGAGCCCUAUU